ACUCUCAGAUCCACAUGGCAACACAAGCAGCUAAAACGCAGAUAGAAACCCCAACCUGGGAAAAGGAGUCCUACAGAAUGGAGACAAAGGAAAGCCAGCGAACGUGAAGACAGAUAAAUAGAAAAUAUCCACUCCGAAGAACGAAGAUAAAGAGGAAAAACAAGAACAAGCAUCACGGGCCAGCUGGGGUCGUAUCGAAAGGCCCAGCACAUACCUGGUUCCAGAAAGCAAGGAGGAGGUUGG
Molecule: long non-coding RNA, 243 nt
Filed under: Homo sapiens (human)
Lineage: Eukaryota; Metazoa; Chordata; Mammalia; Primates; Hominidae
Description: HSALNT0402364
Source: RNAcentral